AGAUUUUCUGAGAAGAUCUCUGAGCAGUGUGAAGCCAUCAUCAUACCCUAUCAAGAACCUUCUGUUCACAGGAUCUCACAGCAGUCCUGCCAGAGGGAUACUCCCAUUAUCCUUAUUUAACAGAGGGGCCACCAGUGAGGGGGCGGCUGCCAGGCUGAGGAAUCUCCUCCCUGAAUGUUCUCACCAGGCCGGGAGAACCAGGCUCUUGCAGCCAUGGGGACGCGCUGCUAUUUUAAGCCACCUGCCAACAGACUGCCUGCCUCCCCCGCUGCUGCCUUGACAUGCAGCUCCUGACAGAGAGCCCUGUGUCGCCCCAGCAGACAAUGCUGGGCAACUGGAUGCAGAUGCACACCUAGGCAGGUGACAGCUGUGGGGACCCCAUGUGACCUUCCCACCCUAGUGUCCCACCCCUAGCACUUGGCUUCCUUGACCUGCCAGCCUUGGGGGCUGGGAGCUGAGAGAAACCCACCAUCCUGCCCAGCUCAGAAAGGACAAACAGACCUGGGUGUUAGCUGAUGGUCUCAUGUAUCCUCACAGUAUGACUACAGUAAGCUCUUUUCGGAGCCUCAGUUCCUUAUCUGUAAAAUGGGUAUGAUCACGAAAUAAUCAGACCAGUCAGGGAGCUCUUCAUGAGAUAUCUAGUACAGUGCCUGGCACAUAGAAAACACGUGAGGGAAGGGAAAGCACCUAUGCCAACCAUCCCCACUCUCCCCACCUCCUUCCUGUACACUCCCUGUGUCCUUCCUGUCUUAUUCAUCACCACCUGACAAUACCUUAGGUGUUUGCUGGACCUCAGUGGCAGAGGUUUUUGAUACCUAACCUCUCUGAACAUGUGGUACAUGCUGAU
This 847-nucleotide long non-coding RNA is filed under the name Mustela putorius furo (domestic ferret). RNAcentral's name for it is "lncRNA (ENSMPUG00000025241.1)". Lineage: Eukaryota; Metazoa; Chordata; Mammalia; Carnivora; Mustelidae. The record is from RNAcentral.